RNAcentral lists this ribosomal RNA (494 nucleotides) under uncultured bacterium. RNAcentral describes it as "partial 16S ribosomal RNA". It matches the Rfam family "Bacterial small subunit ribosomal RNA", at positions 28 to 507 of the family's 1533-position model. The record is from RNAcentral.
GACGAACGCUGGCGGCGUGCUUAACACGUGCAAGUCGAACGGUGAAGCGCCUUCCUUUUUGGUGGGUGUGGAUGAGUGGCGAACGGGUGAGUAACACGUGAGUAACCUGCCCCCUUCUUCUGGAUAACCGCAUGAAAGUGUGGCUAAUACGGGAUAUUCUGGGUCUGUCGCAUGAUGGGUCUGGGAAAGAUAUUGUUUCGGUGGGGGAUGGGCUCGCGGCCUAUCAGCUUGUUGGUGGGGUGAUGGCCUACCAAGGCGGGGACGGGUAGCCGGCCUGAGAGGGUGGACGGUCACACUGGGACUGAGACACGGCCCAGACUCCUACGGGAGGCAGCAGUGGGGAAUAUUGCACAAUGGGCGCAAGCCUGAUGCAGCGACGCCGCGUGAGGGAUGGAGGCCUUCGGGUUGUGAACCUCUUUCGCCAGUGAAGCAGGCCUGCCUCGUUUGUGGGUGGGUUGACGGUAGCUGGAUAAGAAGCGCCGGCUAACUACGUG